AUGUUUGCAAUGAAGGGGACAUGAAUUAUUUUUACGGUUUUCAGAGAGGGAAGGAUUUGCUGUGACCUUCCUAGCUUAGGGAAAUAAUUUACCGCCUCUGAGCUGUAUUGGGGAACCUAAGUAUCCAAUACCGUCCAUGCUGCGUUACAGCACCAAAGCCAUAAGUUAUCUUUUUAGCUUAUGGGAAAUUGGGUGGAACCACGGGUAUAUCGCACUCGUCCCUUAC
This 226-nucleotide non-coding RNA is filed under the name Bacillus sp. (in: firmicutes). RNAcentral's name for it is "Bacillus sp. T-box sequence". It matches the Rfam family "T-box leader". From Rfam's summary of the family: Uncharged tRNA acts as the effector for transcription antitermination of genes in the T-box leader family. Lineage: Bacteria; Bacillati; Bacillota; Bacilli; Caryophanales; Bacillaceae. The record is from RNAcentral.